UGCGUAAUAGCUCACUAGUCGAGUGACACUGCGCCGAAAAUGUACCGGGGCUAAACAUAUUACCGAAGCUGUGGAUUGUCCUUUGGACAAUGGUAGGAGAGCGUUCUAAGGGCGUUGAAGCAUGAUCGUAAGGACAUGUGGAGCGCUUAGAAGUGAGAAUGCCGGUGUGAGUAGCGAAAGACGGGUGAGAAUCCCGUCCACCGAUUGACUAAGGUUUCCAGAGGAAGGCUCGUCCGCUCUGGGUUAGUCGGGUCCUAAGCUGAGGCCGACAGGCGUAGGCGAUGGAUAACAGGUUGAUAUUCCUGUACCACCUAUAAUCGUUUUAAUCGAUGGGGGGACGCAGUAGGAUAGGCGAAGCGUGCGAUUGGAUUGCACGUCUAAGCAGUAAGGCUGAGUAUUAGGCAAAUCCGGUACUCAUUAAGGCUGAGCUGUGAUGGGGAGAAGACAUUGUGUCUUCGAGUCGUUGAUUUCACACUGCCGAGAAAAGCCUCUAGAUAGAAAAUAGGUGCCCGUACCGCAAACCGACACAGGUAGUCAAGAUGAGAAUUCUAAGGUGAGCGAGCGAACUCUCG
RNAcentral lists this ribosomal RNA (572 nucleotides) under Mammaliicoccus sciuri. RNAcentral describes it as "Staphylococcus sciuri partial 23S ribosomal RNA". It matches the Rfam family "Bacterial large subunit ribosomal RNA", at positions 1131 to 1704 of the family's 2925-position model. The record is from RNAcentral. Lineage: Bacteria; Bacillati; Bacillota; Bacilli; Caryophanales; Staphylococcaceae.